Loxodonta africana (African savanna elephant) is the source of this 3503-nucleotide long non-coding RNA. RefSeq lists it as uncharacterized. The record is from RefSeq and is a predicted model, not a curated record. Lineage: Eukaryota; Metazoa; Chordata; Mammalia; Proboscidea; Elephantidae. The transcript has 2 exons.
CAUUUAUUAUUUUGUGAUUUGGGAUUAAUGGCAGCCUUGUUGGAGUGAGAUGGUAUCUCAUUGUAGUUUUGAUUUACAUUUCUCUAACGGCUAAUGAUUAUGAGCAUUUCCUCAUGUAUCUGUUACCUGCCUGAAUGUCUUCUUCGUUGAAGUGCCUAUUCCUAUCCUUUGCCCAUUUUUAAAAUGGAUUAUUUGUCUUUUUGUUAUUGAGUUUUUGCAAUAUCAUGUAGAUUUUAGAGAUCAGAUGCUGAUCGGAAAUGUUAUAGCUCAAAACUGUUUCCCAGGCUGUAGGCAAUCAGUUUACUCUCCUGGUGAAGACUUUGGAUGAGCAUAAGUGUUUGAUUUUUAGGAGUUACCUAAUUUCUCUUUGGGUACUUGUACAUUGUUAGUAAUGUUUUUUGUUACAAUCCCACCCUAAUCCUCUUUAACAUAAAAUUACAAUCACAAAAUGGAGGACAACUACAGAACACUGGGAAUCAUGGCCUAACCAACUUGGUACACACAUUUUUCGGGGGGGACAUAAUACAAUCCAUGACAUCCACCUUUUAGUAUAUUUUGGGGACUGGCUCUUUUAGUCAGAAACAGGUUGAAUAAAAGUGCUUACUUACCAGCAGUUUCCCGACAGUGUUGGUGACGGAUCCCCAGUUGGAUACACACAAUCACACUGACUGCAUUUGCGGUGCCUCAGCAAGUCCCACUUGCCUUCGUAACACUGAUCUCUAGAACAAAACACAGCUCUGUAAGCAAGUCAGUUAAAAAUAAAGGCAUUGGAUAUUGAACAUCACUAAAGACAUAAGUGCAUAUUGGUUCUGUGUUGGUUGCCAGAAUCUAAUUCUCUUAAUUAAUUCAUAUUUUUUGUAGAUAUUUUUCUUGCUCCAUAUACCCAGAGUUCUGUGUACAUAUAAUGAACAUUCUACACGUAGAUUUCUCACAAAUAUUACCCAAUGUCAUUCAUUUUUUUGACCAUUCACUCAAUGUUCAAGAAUAAAUUGAAGUAUAGGAAAUAUUCUUAUGGUUAUUUAACUCUAAGGAUGAAGAAAUUGCAUAGCGGGUCUUGGCUCCCUUUAGAAAUUCUCUACCUGAUGCAGUUCCACACAGCAACACGGACCUUCAUCUCAGCACAGGAAGAAAGACAGCUUUGUCUCAAUAUCUGCCACUGCUCUUCACCUUCUACUAAGGAAACUCAGGAAUCAAAUAUUUUAUACUGUCCAGCAAUGCUUACACUGUAAGUAUAAAGUGGGAGCCAUUAUAACGUUAAGGGAAAUAUCAUUGAUACAAUGUUGGCUUUUUAAUUAGGCAGAUUUGUCUUUGUAAUCCCACUCUGCCCUUAAUUGGCUGAUGACUUUAAGUAUGCUUCUUUACUUUCCGUAGCCUUGAUUUACUCACCCACAGAAUGGGACGAUGACCUUCAUCUGGAAAGAAUAUACAUAUAUACAUAUAUACAGACGUAUGAAGCUUACUUCUGACAAUACUAACAAAUAUUGCUAUUUUUUUUUUUUUGCCUUCUUUACUCCAAGCUUCUAGACGGUUUACUCAGUUACAUUUCCUUCCUUCCUUUCUUCUUUCUUUCUAUGCUGCCUCUUUUUUUUUCCCUUUCAGUUUUAUUGUGAAUUCAUAAACGCUAGGUUGAAUUUCAGUGUUUAUAUGCUAUUGGGGGUAUGCAUAUAAGUAAGCAAAUUUAGCUUCCUGAAAUUGAAAUGUAGGUAAUUCCUGCACUGUCUGCCUCACAUGACAUGCGAAAGUUAUUUAAAAUAGUAAGAAAAUAUAAAUAUGUUACUUAUUAUCUAUUGAAUCCAUACAUCAGGCUAGAUAAUUUAACUGUCAUGUUGAAGUGAUAAAUUUAUAAAUAUGUUAAUAUUUUGUUAUUAAUGUAAGAAGAGUAAGUUAGACACCUAAUAUGAAGAGCAGGUAAGGAUUUCAAAAGGAUUGGUUCUCAGAAGAGUAGGACUAGAACAGUAAUAAACAAAAGGUAAAAUAUGUUCGUAGCAGGAACAUACAGAAGGUUGCUUCUACAAUGGUGUUUAAAAUAGAAUAAUGUAUAUUUGAUUAGACAAUCAUUUAUGGGAAUAAAAAGAUUAAGAAAAUUUAUCCUUACCUGCAAAAUCUUAGAACCGAAAAACCAAACCAAACCCAGUGCCGUCGAGUCGACUCCACUCCUACUCAUGGCGACCCUAUAGGACAGAGUAGAACUGCCCCAUAGAGUUUCCAAGGAGCGCCUGGAGGAUUCAAACUGCUGACCCUUUGGUUAGCAGCUGUAGCACUUAACCACUAUGCCACCAGGGUUUCCACAAAAUCUUAGAAGCAGCAACAUAUUCAUCAUAUUUCAUCCAGAACAUUCCUGAUGUCCUGCAGUCAUGCAUUUAAAGUCAUUUUUGCAGAAACAUUCAUUUUUAUAGCUACUUACCUUCCUGGUGAUUACAUCAUUGGCUCAUAAAGACGAGAAAAAGAACCAAAUGCAAUUUGGCUGUCUUGACUGGGUCCCAAAGAAGACUAUUAAGUUAAACAAAUGAAUAGAAACAUCUUAAAUAAGCAAUAUCUUCUAUGUGCAACUGCUUGUGUGUGGCACCAGGAAAAUAAACACUAAUCAAGGUAAUUUUAAUUCCCAGUGAAAUGAAACAUCAUAUGGAAACAUGGGGAUUUUACUCUCCCUUGAUAAUUAUAUCAUCUAGAAUCAUCUCAUGUGAGAUUUUUAUCAUAAAGGAAGGGUCCAUGGAAAGGAAAUGCCUGACUGGAGCCCGCUGUGGAUUAUUCUUAAUUGCCUCUCCACUCUCACAUUCCCAAAAGGAAGGAGGAUAUCAGGGCUUAAUAUGACUCAAGUACAGCAUGAAAAAAUGGAAUAUGUUUGCAAAUGUCAACACAACUAUUUGUAAAAUAAUUAGAUAUUUAUUAAAUCAUUUUGUGAGAAAUGAAGUGGCUCUGAUCAGACUUAAAUAAAUGGGUUGACUAAUUUUUUUUUUGUUGUUAAUAUUUGAAUGUACCAUGCAACUAGGUUGAUGGAAGUUGUAUAUAAAAGUUAUCCAAAUCACUCAGUAGGAUCAUUUCAAAGAAUCUGAAAAAAGUUAGGAAAAUAAAUUUGAAAUACUGUGGCACUAUGAGUCAACCAGAAUUACAGAGCGUUCAGUAAAUUGGAGUAAAAAAAGAACUGAAGGUAUCAUUUUCAAGUCGAUUGUUGUUAGGUGCCAUCAAGUCUGUUCUGACUCAUAGCCAAACUAUGUAUCACAGAACAAAACACUGCCUGGUCCUGUGCCAUUCUUACAAUCGUUACUAUGCUUGAGCCCAUUGUCGCACCCACUGUGUCAGUCUCUCUCUUUGAGGGUCUUCCUUUUUUUCCACUGAUCCUGUACUGUACCAAGCAUGAUGUCCUUCUCCAGGAACUGAUCUUUCCUGACAACAUGUCCAAAGUAUGUAAGACACAGUCUCGCCAUCCUUGCUUCUAAGGAGCAUUCUGGUUGUACUUCUUCCAAGACAGAUUUGUUCCUUCUCUUGGCAGUGCAUUCAAUAUU